This 866-nucleotide ribosomal RNA is filed under the name uncultured crenarchaeote. RNAcentral's name for it is "bacterial SSU rRNA". It matches the Rfam family "Archaeal small subunit ribosomal RNA", at positions 55 to 903 of the family's 1478-position model. Lineage: Archaea; Thermoproteati; Thermoproteota. The record is from RNAcentral.
UAGUCGAGUGGCUCAGCCAAAACGAGUCACGGCGUACAGCUCAGUAACACGUGGCUAACCUGCCCUUGGGACGAGAACAACCCCGGGAAACUGGGGCUAACUCUCGAUAGGCGAAGAACUCUGGAAUGAGUCUUCACCAAAACAGUUUAAGGUUAUGCUCUUUAAACUGCCCAAGGAUGGGGCCGCGACCGAUCAGGUUGUUGGUGAGGUAAUGGCUCACCAAGCCUUUUACCGGUGCGGGCCGUGGGAGCGGGAGCCCGGAGAUGGGCACUGAGACAAGGGCCCAGGCCCUACGGGGCGCAGCAGUCGCGAAAACUUUGCAAUAAGCGAAAGCUUGACAGGGCUAUCCCGAGUGCCAUCCGCUGAGGAAGGCUUUUACCCAGUCUAGAACGCUGGGGGAAUAAGGAGAGGGCAAGUCUGGUGUCAGCCGCCGCGGUAAUACCAGCUCUCCGAGUGGUGUGGAUGUUUAUUGGGCCUAAAGCAUCCGUAGCUGGCUAAGUUAGUCCCUUGUUAAAUCCACCGAAUUAAUCGUUGGAUUGCGGGGGAUACUGCUUGGCUAGGGGACGAGAGAGGCAGACGGUAUUUCCGGGGUAGGGGUGAAAUCCUAUAAUCCCGGGAAGACCACCAGUGGCGAAGGCUGUCUGCUAGAACGCGCCCGACGGUGAGGGAUGAAAGCUGGGGGAGCGAACCGGAUUAGAUACCCGGGUAGUCCCAGCUGUAAACGAUGCAGACUAGUUGUUUGAACGGCCACGUGCCGUUCUAGUGCCGCAGGAAGCUGUUAAGUCUGCCGCCUGGGGAGUACGAUCGCAAGAUUGAAACUUAAAGGAAUUGGCGGGGGAGCACCACAAGGGUGAAGCUUGCGGUUU